This 451-nucleotide ribosomal RNA is filed under the name uncultured bacterium. RNAcentral describes it as "partial 16S ribosomal RNA". It matches the Rfam family "Bacterial small subunit ribosomal RNA", at positions 354 to 796 of the family's 1533-position model. The record is from RNAcentral.
GUGGGGAAUAUUGGACAAUGGGGGGAACCCUGAUCCAGCCAUGCCGCGUGUGUGAAGAAGGCCUUUUGGUUGUAAAGCACUUUAAGCGAGGAGGAGGCUACCGAGAUUAAUACUCUUGGAUAGUGGACGUUACUCGCAGAAUAAGCACCGGCUAACUCUGUGCCAGCAGCCGCGGUAAUACAGAGGGUGCAAGCGUUAAUCGGAUUUACUGGUCGUAAAGCGCGCGUAGGUGGCCAAUUAAGUCAAAUGUGAAAUCCCCGAGCUUAACUUGGGAAUUGCAUUCGAUACUGGUUGGCUAGAGUAUGGGAGAGGAUGGUAGAAUUCCAGGUGUAGCGGUGAAAUGCGUAGAGAUCUGGAGGAAUACCGAUGGCGAAGGCAGCCAUCUGGCCUAAUACUGACACUGAGGUGCGAAAGCAUGGGGAGCAAACAGGAUUAGAAACCCCGGUAGUCC